This is an RNA transcript of Salvia splendens (bonfire salvia), 1465 nucleotides long. It is a transcript of the gene named O-methyltransferase MdmC, with no coding region annotated. The record is from RefSeq and is a predicted model, not a curated record. The transcript is spliced from 11 exons. NCBI's taxonomy places the organism in Eukaryota, Viridiplantae, Streptophyta, Magnoliopsida, Lamiales, Lamiaceae.
UUUGUCUUGAGUUGGCGCAUUCAAAAUAUCAAUACGUAGCGCUUCUCCUUGAUCUUAAUUUGAUUUGUGGCUAUAUUAAUUAAAAUUAAUACUACCUAAUUAUGACUAUUAAUUUCAUUAAUAUCAAUAUAUCAUCAUCAUCAACUCAAUUUAUCUUCAUUCGUUGUUCGAGUUUAAUAUUCUUCAAACCAGCUGAAGGAUUUUGCAAUGUCGAGUGGCUUAGGGUUUGUGCACCAAUGCUCGAAUCCGCUGAUAGCGCUUCGAUCGCCGAGACACUCCAUCCCCAUCCCUGCAAGGGGGUUGAUCGUGAGCAGGGGCGUUGCUUGCCGCUUGAAGGCAUUGAAGUCUGUUCCAAAUUCAGACACGGUUGUGGUAGCUGAUGAGAGUUAUGGGCGCAAGGAAGUCAUUAGUGUGAAUCCUCGGCUGUAUGACUACUUAUUGGCUAAUACCAGAGAGCCUAAGAUACUGCGUGAGCUCCGAGAGGAAACUGCUACUAGGCAUGGCAGCCAGAUGCAGGUAUCUCCUGAUCAAGCACAGCUUCUUGCAAUGCUUGUCCAGAUUAUGGGAGCAGAGAAGUGUAUCGAAGUUGGUGUCUACACUGGUUACUCAUCCCUUGCAGUUGCUUUGGUACUACCAGAAGGAGGUCAGCUGGUGGCAUGCGAGAGAGACGCAAAAUCUCUAGAAGUUGCACAAAGGUACUAUGAUCGUGCAGGUGUUUCAGAGAAGGUGAUUGUCAAACAUGGGUUAGCAGCUGAUACUCUGAAGUCCUUGGUUCAGAAUGGCGAAGCUAGCAGCUAUGAUUUUGCUUUUGUUGAUGCUGAGAAGAAAAUGUACCAGGAUUAUUUUGAAUUGCUACUGCAACUGGUGAGAGUCGGAGGUGUUAUAGUGAUGGACAACGUCCUCUGGCACGGAAGGGUCGCUGAUCCACUGAUAAAUGACUCGAAGACGAUCAGUAUCAGAAACUUCAAUAGAAAAUUGAUGGAGGAUGAUCGUGUAAGCAUUAGCAUGGUUCCCAUUGGUGAUGGAAUGACCAUUUGUCGGAAAAGAUAGAGCUCGAAGGCUACCACUGUGUCGCGUAUCUACAAAUCAUCCACCAGAGUUUUCAAGUUAACACGCCCAGGUUUGGUCAUGGAAACCUAAGAACAGUGGCUCGACAGCUUCGUAGAAAGGUGAAGUAUUGCCAUGCACGAGGUGCGAAACCAACAAGCACGAUGUGAUGAACAAGGAGAAUCUCUUGUGCGAGGUUCAAGCUUCGACUAAUUCUUGAGGGCAAUCGAGCAAAGUGCAUAUGAAUGGCGGACACAGAAAAAAAAUGUUGGUCUACAGGAGAGGAGAUCGGGAGGUCGUUUGGCCAUCAAAUCCGGAAGAAUAGCGAGAAAGAUUUUGAAGUAGGGCUAGGCACAAAUAUCUCGGCAGCUUUUGUUAUGAAGAUUUGUUUUCAUUGUUUAUUUCAAUUUCCACAUAG